GUAGAUCAGAAUGCUACGGUGAAUACGUUCCCGGGCCUUGUACACACCGCCCGUCACACCAUGGGAGUGGGUUGCAAAAGAAGUAGGUAGCUUAACCUUCGGGAGGGCGCUUACCACUUUGUGAUUCAUGACUGGGGUGAAGUCGUAACAAGGUAACCGUAGGGGAACCUGCGGUUGGAUCACCUCCUUACCUUAAAGAA
This 200-nucleotide ribosomal RNA is filed under the name Klebsiella pneumoniae. RNAcentral describes it as "partial 16S ribosomal RNA". It matches the Rfam family "Bacterial small subunit ribosomal RNA", at positions 1344 to 1533 of the family's 1533-position model. Lineage: Bacteria; Pseudomonadati; Pseudomonadota; Gammaproteobacteria; Enterobacterales; Enterobacteriaceae. RNAcentral also lists the same sequence under 2 other names. The record is from RNAcentral.